Molecule: ribosomal RNA, 440 nt
Filed under: uncultured Leptolinea sp.
Lineage: Bacteria; Bacillati; Chloroflexota; Anaerolineae; Anaerolineales; Anaerolineaceae
Description: bacterial SSU rRNA
Rfam family: Bacterial small subunit ribosomal RNA
Source: RNAcentral
CAAGCAGCGGAGCGUGUGGUUAAUUCGAUGCUACACGAAGAACCUUACCAGGGUUUGACAUGCAAGUGGUAGGAACCGAAAGGCGACCGACCCUUCGGGAGCUUGCACAGGUGCUGCAUGGCUGUCGUCAGCUCGUGUCGUGAGAUGUUCGGUUAAGUCCGCUAACGAGCGCAACCCUCGCUGUGUGUUACAAGUGUCACACGGUACUGCCGGUCUUAAGCCGGAGGAAGGUGAGGAUGAUGUCAAGUCAGCAUGACCUUUAUAUCCAGGGCUACACACACGCUACAAUGGUCUGUACAAUGGGUAGCCAAGCCGCGAGGCGGAGCCAAUCCUGAAAGCAGGCCUCAGUUCAGAUUGCAGUCUGCAACUCGACUGCAUGAAGCCGGAGUUGCUAGUAACCGCAGGUCAGCAAUACUGCGGUGAAUACGUUCCCGGGUCUU